Molecule: long non-coding RNA, 597 nt
Filed under: Homo sapiens (human)
Lineage: Eukaryota; Metazoa; Chordata; Mammalia; Primates; Hominidae
Description: non-protein coding lnc-DHX32-2:2
Source: RNAcentral
CAGGGACUCGUAGACCCAGUUGGUUCAUAAAAAGCAGAAGCUUUGCUUUCCUAACAGACGGAAACAGGCAGGUGUGCAGUUCAGGAGCUGGGCCCUCUUGGUCUUUCUUGCUUUUUGCAGCCAUUUAAGGUGUGAUGUUUGCAUUCAGUGAGUGCAUACUCCAUAAGACCCUGUCAAACAAAUGCCAUUCCCCUUUCCAGGAAUGUAUGAAUCGCUGCUGCAAUGCCACCACCUGUACCCUGAAGCCGGACGCUGUGUGCGCACAUGGGCUGUGCUGUGAAGACUGCCAGCUGAAGCCUGCAGGAACAGCGUGCAGGGACUCCAGCAACUCCUGUGACCUCCCAGAGUUCUGCACAGGGGCCAGCCCUCACUGCCCAGCCAACGUGUACCUGCACGAUGGGCACUCAUGUCAGGAUGUGGACGGCUACUGCUACAAUGGCAUCUGCCAGACUCACGAGCAGCAGUGUGUCACGCUCUGGGGACCAGGUACGUGGCCGCCACAAGCUCGGCAUCAGGAGAGGCACUGGCAGACCUGGGCUGUGGGACUGGGGGCAUGUGCUCUGUUUUGGUUAGCCCCCACUCCUGGCGGGCGCUGUC